GGGCGUUUAGCUCAGCUGGUUCAGAGCACCUGCCUUACAAGCAGGGGGUCGGCGGUUCAAAUCCGUCAACGCCCA
This 75-nucleotide transfer RNA is filed under the name Bacteroidota bacterium. Its description in RNAcentral is "tRNA-Val". It matches the Rfam family "tRNA". From Rfam's summary of the family: Transfer RNA (tRNA) molecules are approximately 80 nucleotides in length. Their secondary structure includes four short double-helical elements and three loops (D, anti-codon, and T loops). Further hydrogen bonds mediate the characteristic L-shaped molecular structure. tRNAs have two regions of fundamental functional importance: the anti-codon, which is responsible for specific mRNA codon recognition, and the 3' end, to which the tRNAs corresponding amino acid is attached (by aminoacyl-tRNA synthetases). tRNAs cope with the degeneracy of the genetic code in two manners: having more than one tRNA (with a specific anti-codon) for a particular amino acid; and 'wobble' base-pairing, i.e. permitting non-standard base-pairing at the 3rd anti-codon position. The record is from RNAcentral. RNAcentral also lists the same sequence under 3 other names. Lineage: Bacteria; Pseudomonadati; Bacteroidota.